This 913-nucleotide ribosomal RNA is filed under the name uncultured Verrucomicrobiota bacterium. RNAcentral's name for it is "bacterial SSU rRNA". It matches the Rfam family "Bacterial small subunit ribosomal RNA", at positions 8 to 893 of the family's 1533-position model. The record is from RNAcentral. Lineage: Bacteria; Pseudomonadati; Verrucomicrobiota.
AGAGUUUGAUCAUGGCUCAGAACGAACGCUGGCGGCGUGGAUAAGACAUGCAAGUCGAACGCUAAUUAGAGGUUAGCAAUAAUCUCUAGUUGGAGUGGCGCAAGGGUGCGUAACACGUGGGUAAUCUGCCGUGAAGACUGGGAUAACUCGCUGAAAGGCGAGCUAAUACCGGAUGUGACUGUUUGGUGGCAUCACUGGACAUUCGAAGCUGGGGACCGAAAGGCCUGGCACUUUACGAUGAGCCCGCGGCCUAUCAGCUAGUUGGUGAGGUAACGGCUCACCAAGGCUAAGACGGGUAGCUGGUCUGAGAGGACGACCAGCCACACUGGAACUGAGACACGGUCCAGACACCUACGGGUGGCAGCAGUCGAGAAUUUUUCACAAUGGGCGCAAGCCUGAUGGAGCGACGCCGCGUGGGGGAUGAAGGGUUUCGAUCCGUAAACCCCUGUCAUUUGCGAACAAACCUUGUGGGUGAACAGCCCAUGAGCUGAUUGUAGUGAAAGAGGAAGGGACGGCUAACUCUGUGCCAGCAGCCGCGGUAAUACAGAGGUCCCAAGCGUUGUUCGGAUUCACUGGGCGUAAAGGGUGCGUAGGUGGCCAGGUAAGUUCGGUGUGAAAGCUCGGAGCUUAACUUCGAAAUGGCAUUGAAUACUAUCUGGCUAGAGGGUCGGAGGGGAGACUGGAAUUCUCGGUGUAGCAGUGAAAUGCGUAGAUAUCGAGAGGAACACCAGUGGCGAAGGCGAGUCUCUGGACGACUCCUGACACUGAGGCACGAAAGCCAGGGGAGCAAACAGGAUUAGAUACCCUGGUAGUCCUGGCUGUAAACGGUGCACGUUUGCUGUAAAAGGAAUCGACCCCUUUUGUGGCGAAGCUAACGCGAUAAACGUGCCGCCUGGGGAGUACGGUCGCAAGA